AGCGUACACGGUGGAUGCCCUGGCAGUCAGAGGCGAUGAAGGACGUGCUAAUCUGCGAUAAGCGUCGGUAAGGUGAUAUGAACCGUUAUAACCGGCGAUUUCCGAAUGGGGAAACCCAGUGUGUUUCGACACACUAUCAUUAACUGAAUCCAUAGGUUAAUGAGGCGAACCGGGGGAACUGAAACAUCUAAGUACCCCGAGGAAAAGAAAUCAACCGAGAUUCCCCCAGUAGCGGCGAGCGAACGGGGAGCAGCCCAGAGCCUGAAUCAGUGUGUGUGUUAGUGGAAGCGUCUGGAAAGGCGCGCGAUACAGGGUGACAGCCCCGUACACAAAAAUGCACAUGCUGUGAGCUCGAUGAGUAGGGCGGGACACGUGGUAUCCUGUCUGAAUAUGGGGGGACCAUCCUCCAAGGCUAAAUACUCCUGACUGACCGAUAGUGAACCAGUACCGUGAGGGAAAGGCGAAAAGAACCCCGGCGAGGGGAGUGAAAAAGAACCUGAAACCGUGUACGUACAAGCAGUGGGAGCACGCUUAGGCGUGUGACUGCGUACCUUUUGUAUAAUGGGUCAGCGACUUAUAUUCUGUAGCAAGGUUAACCGAAUAGGGGAGCCGAAGGGAAACCGAGUCUUAACUGGGCGUUAAGUUGCAGGGUAUAGACCCGAAACCCGGUGAUCUAGCCAUGGGCAGGUUGAAGGUUGGGUAACACUAACUGGAGGACCGAACCGACUAAUGUUGAAAAAUUAGCGGAUGACUUGUGGCUGGGGGUGAAAGGCCAAUCAAACCGGGAGAUAGCUGGUUCUCCCCGAAAGCUAUUUAGGUAGCGCCUCGUGAAUUCAUCUCCGGGGGUAGAGCACUGUUUCGGCAAGGGGGUCAUCCCGACUUACCAACCCGAUGCAAACUGCGAAUACCGGAGAAUGUUAUCACGGGAGACACACGGCGGGUGCUAACGUCCGUCGUGAAGAGGGAAACAACCCAGACCGCCAGCUAAGGUCCCAAAGUCAUGGUUAAGUGGGAAACGAUGUGGGAAGGCCCAGACAGCCAGGAUGUUGGCUUAGAAGCAGCCAUCAUUUAAAGAAAGCGUAAUAGCUCACUGGUCGAGUCGGCCUGCGCGGAAGAUGUAACGGGGCUAAACCAUGCACCGAAGCUGCGGCAGCGACGCUUAUGCGUUGUUGGGUAGGGGAGCGUUCUGUAAGCCUGUGAAGGUGUGCUGUGAGGCAUGCUGGAGGUAUCAGAAGUGCGAAUGCUGACAUAAGUAACGAUAAAGCGGGUGAAAAGCCCGCUCGCCGGAAGACCAAGGGUUCCUGUCCAACGUUAAUCGGGGCAGGGUGAGUCGACCCCUAAGGCGAGGCCGAAAGGCGUAGUCGAUGGGAAACAGGUUAAUAUUCCUGUACUUGGUGUUACUGCGAAGGGGGGACGGAGAAGGCUAUGUUGGCCGGGCGACGGUUGUCCCGGUUUAAGCGUGUAGGCUGGUUUUCCAGGCAAAUCCGGAAAAUCAAGGCUGAGGCGUGAUGACGAGGCACUACGGUGCUGAAGCAACAAAUGCCCUGCUUCCAGGAAAAGCCUCUAAGCAUCAGGUAACAUCAAAUCGUACCCCAAACCGACACAGGUGGUCAGGUAGAGAAUACCAAGGCGCUUGAGAGAACUCGGGUGAAGGAACUAGGCAAAAUGGUGCCGUAACUUCGGGAGAAGGCACGCUGAUAUGUAGGUGAAGUCCCUCGCGGAUGGAGCUGAAAUCAGUCGAAGAUACCAGCUGGCUGCAACUGUUUAUUAAAAACACAGCACUGUGCAAACACGAAAGUGGACGUAUACGGUGUGACGCCUGCCCGGUGCCGGAAGGUUAAUUGAUGGGGUCAGCGCAAGCGAAGCUCUUGAUCGAAGCCCCGGUAAACGGCGGCCGUAACUAUAACGGUCCUAAGGUAGCGAAAUUCCUUGUCGGGUAAGUUCCGACCUGCACGAAUGGCGUAAUGAUGGCCAGGCUGUCUCCACCCGAGACUCAGUGAAAUUGAACUCGCUGUGAAGAUGCAGUGUACCCGCGGCAAGACGGAAAGACCCCGUGAACCUUUACUAUAGCUUGACACUGAACAUUGAGCCUUGAUGUGUAGGAUAGGUGGGAGGCUUUGAAGUGUGGACGCCAGUCUGCAUGGAGCCGACCUUGAAAUACCACCCUUUAAUGUUUGAUGUUCUAACGUUGACCCGUAAUCCGGGUUGCGGACAGUGUCUGGUGGGUAGUUUGACUGGGGCGGUCUCCUCCUAAAGAGUAACGGAGGAGCACGAAGGUUGGCUAAUCCUGGUCGGACAUCAGGAGGUUAGUGCAAUGGCAUAAGCCAGCUUGACUGCGAGCGUGACGGCGCGAGCAGGUGCGAAAGCAGGUCAUAGUGAUCCGGUGGUUCUGAAUGGAAGGGCCAUCGCUCAACGGAUAAAAGGUACUCCGGGGAUAACAGGCUGAUACCGCCCAAGAGUUCAUAUCGACGGCGGUGUUUGGCACCUCGAUGUCGGCUCAUCACAUCCUGGGGCUGAAGUAGGUCCCAAGGGUAUGGCUGUUCGCCAUUUAAAGUGGUACGCGAGCUGGGUUUAGAACGUCGUGAGACAGUUCGGUCCCUAUCUGCCGUGGGCGCUGGAGAACUGAGGGGGGCUGCUCCUAGUACGAGAGGACCGGAGUGGACGCAUCACUGGUGUUCGGGUUGUCAUGCCAAUGGCACUGCCCGGUAGCUAAAUGCGGAAGAGAUAAGUGCUGAAAGCAUCUAAGCACGAAACUUGCCCCGAGAUGAGUUCUCCCUGACUCCUUGA
This 2787-nucleotide ribosomal RNA is filed under the name Escherichia coli. Its description in RNAcentral is "bacterial LSU rRNA". It matches the Rfam family "Bacterial large subunit ribosomal RNA". Lineage: Bacteria; Pseudomonadati; Pseudomonadota; Gammaproteobacteria; Enterobacterales; Enterobacteriaceae. The record is from RNAcentral. RNAcentral also lists the same sequence under 1 other name.